Molecule: non-coding RNA, 29 nt
Filed under: Mus musculus (house mouse)
Lineage: Eukaryota; Metazoa; Chordata; Mammalia; Rodentia; Muridae
Source: RNAcentral
AGCAAGGCAAGGUAUAUACAGAAAUGGGC